Molecule: ribosomal RNA, 479 nt
Filed under: uncultured bacterium
Lineage: Bacteria
Description: bacterial SSU rRNA
Rfam family: Bacterial small subunit ribosomal RNA
Source: RNAcentral
GACGAACGCUGGCGGCGUGCUUAACACAUGCAAGUCGAACGAGAAUCUAAUGACGGAGUUUUCGGACAACUGAUUUAGAGGACAGUGGCGGACGGGUGAGUAACGCGUGAGGAACCUGCCUUUCAGAGGGGGACAACAGUUGGAAACGACUGCUAAUACCGCAUGACACAUAGGUGUCGCAUGGCACUUAUGUCAAAGAUUUAUCGCUGAAAGAUGGCCUCGCGUCUGAUUAGCUAGUUGGUGAGGUAACGGCCCACCAAGGCGACGAUCAGUAGCCGGACUGAGAGGUUGAACGGCCACAUUGGGACUGAGAUACGGCCCAGACUCCUACGGGAGGCAGCAGUGGGGAAUAUUGGGCAAUGGGCGCAAGCCUGACCCAGCAACGCCGCGUGAAGGAAGAAGGCUUUCGGGUUGUAAACUUCUUUGUCAGGGACGAGUAGAAGACGGUACCUGACGAAUAAGCCACGGCUAACUACGUG